UGAAAUAACAAAACGCGCAGUAUGUUAUAAUUUUAAUGUUUACUAAAGGGGACCUUAGAGGGCGCUUGUGGAAAAAAAGCGCCCUCUAAAGGGGGCCUAAGAGGGCGCUUAUGAAAGCGCUCUCUAAGGCUUUCCAGAAGCGCUUUAUAAACUGGAAAUGCACAUGGACUUAUAGAGCGCUUCUUUAAAAGCGCCCUCUAAGGGUAAC
This 208-nucleotide long non-coding RNA is filed under the name Lathyrus oleraceus (garden pea). Its description in RNAcentral is "Pisum sativum (pea) long non-coding RNA (PSAT_LNC002921)". The record is from RNAcentral. Lineage: Eukaryota; Viridiplantae; Streptophyta; Magnoliopsida; Fabales; Fabaceae.